GCUUAGAGUUUGAUCCUGGCUCAGGAUGAACGCUGGCGGUAUGCUUAACACAUGCAAGUCGAACGGAGUACAUUGUACUUAGUGGCGGACGGGUGAGUAACGCGUGAGAAUCUGCCUUCAGGAUGGGGAUAACAGUGGGAAACCAAUGCUAAUACCCAAUGAGCCGAGAGGUAAAAAAUUAUUGCCUGAAGAGGAGCUCGCGUCCGAUUAGUUAGUUGGUGGGGUAAAGGCCUACCAAGGCGGCGAUCGGUAACUGGUCUGAGAGGACGAUCGGUCACACUGGGACUGAGACACGGCCCAGACUCCUACGGGAGGCAGCAGUGGGGAAUUUUCCGCAAUGGGCGCAAGCCUGACGGAGCAAUACCGCGUGAGGGAGGAAGGCCUUUGGGUUGUAAACCUCUUUUCUUAAGGAAGAAGCUCUGACGGUACUUAAGGAAUCAGCAUCGGCUAACUCCGUGCCAGCAGCCGCGGUAAUACGGAGGAUGCAAGCGUUAUCCGGAAUUAUUGGGCGUAAAGCGUCCGUAGGCGGCAUUAUAAGUCUGCUGUCAAAGACCGCAGCUCAACUGCGGAGAGGCAGUGGAAACUGUAAAGCUAGAGUCUGGUAGGGGUAGAGGGAAUUCCCAGUGUAGCGGUGAAAUGCGUAGAGAUUGGGAAGAACACCAGUGGCGAAAGCGCUCUGCUGGGCCAGAACUGACGCUGAGGGACGAAAGCUAGGGGAGCGAAAGGGAUUAGAUACCCCUGUAGUC
This 746-nucleotide ribosomal RNA is filed under the name uncultured cyanobacterium. RNAcentral describes it as "bacterial SSU rRNA". It matches the Rfam family "Bacterial small subunit ribosomal RNA", at positions 1 to 795 of the family's 1533-position model. The record is from RNAcentral. Lineage: Bacteria; Bacillati; Cyanobacteriota.